UAUCUCUGUAGAGUCUGCAUAUCAAUAAGCGGAGGAAAAGAAACUAACUAGGAUUCCCUUAGUAACGGCGAGUGAAGCGGGAAGAGCUCAAAUUUGAAAUCUUCAAGGUUCUACCUUGACGAAUUGUAGUUUAAAGAAGUGUUUUCUGUUGGAGUUUUGGUAAAAGUUCUUUGGAAUAGGACAUCAUAGAGGGUGAGAAUCCCGUAUUUGACCAUUUCUUCCAGCUGUGUGAUACACUUUCAAAGAGUCGGAUUGUUUGGGAAUGCAGUCCAAAAUGGGUGGUAAAUUUCAUCUAAAGCUAAAUAUUGGCGAGAGACCGAUAGCGAACAAGUACCGUGAGGGAAAGAUGAAAAGAACUUCGAAAAGAGAGUUAAACAGUACGUGAAAUUGUCAGAAGGGAAGCGUUUGACACCAGUGUUGUUUUCUCGAAAAUCAAUUAAGAAUGGCCGGAUUUUGUGUUGUAUUGACUUUAUCAGCUUUCUGCACUUUUUUCUUGUCUUUUUUAAUGCACUUUUCGUUUAACAAGUCAACAUCAAUUUCUUUUGUUGUAAAAGAGUCAUUGGAAGGUGGCUUUCCUUUCGGAUGAAAGUGUUUAUAGCCUUUGACUUCUGCAAUCGGAGAGAUUGAGGUCUGCAGCGUAGAUCCUUCGGGGUUAGAUGCAUUUGUGCUAGGUUAUAGCUUUUCAUAGACAACAUGUUGACUAUGAUUAAGUCAUGUAGCUUACUCGCUUAUGCUAUUUUACCUACGCUUAGGAUGUUGAACGCGCACAGAGUCUC
RNAcentral lists this ribosomal RNA (776 nucleotides) under uncultured Neocallimastigales. RNAcentral's name for it is "partial large subunit ribosomal RNA". It matches the Rfam family "Eukaryotic large subunit ribosomal RNA", at positions 24 to 614 of the family's 3401-position model. The record is from RNAcentral. Lineage: Eukaryota; Fungi; Neocallimastigomycota; Neocallimastigomycetes; Neocallimastigales.